Long non-coding RNA from Camelus dromedarius (Arabian camel), 11337 nucleotides. RefSeq lists it as uncharacterized. Lineage: Eukaryota; Metazoa; Chordata; Mammalia; Artiodactyla; Camelidae. The record is from RefSeq and is a predicted model, not a curated record. The transcript is spliced from 8 exons.
GGGCAUGCAGGUGGUUACUGAUUAAACUGAUUAAACUUCCCACUUAGUGCGGGGCGAGGGGGUUGGAGGGGUGGCAAUCAUGCGCGUAGGAUAAGGGUGAGGCAGGGUGUGCGGGCCAGGGGAUGCAGAGAGAACAAGAGAGCAGCCUUCUUACGGGGCCUGACCAUCCAGCAGGUUUGCAAGAAUUACAGAGAUUCCUCUUUCUCUCCCUCUCUUUCUCUCAAAAUGUUCUCAUACGGGGGUAACGGGCUGAUUCUCCACUUAGCAAGCUUGUAUCGAAUGUCUCCCGGAAGCAGGCAGGGUGCCUGGGAUCCAAGUCGUGUGAUCUGCUGGCAGAGGAAACGUGAAGCUGGUAACGCCACAGAUUAUGUGCUAUUUGUGAAGACUAUUUCCAGAAGGAUACACAAAAAUCUGGAAACGGCAGACAGAGGGUCUGGAUAUCUACAAGAGAAGAAAAUUAACUUUUUCUGUACAUACUUUGGUAUUAAAUGUGUUUGUUUUCAUUAUGCACACAUUAUUCUCAUAAUUCCUUCAAAUUAAGGAAGUAAUUAAAACUAAUUAAAAGUCAUACUAGAAGACAUAUAACACAGAUGCUGCAGAUACGGACAGGAACAUAACGAACAGGCCUAAGAGUCUGUACAGAACGAGACAGAAAGGAGGAGGGGGCAUCAUGAGCAAGUGCGCAGAACGAAUGUUAGCACACACAGAAUACGCAGGGACAUUUUUAAGGGUGACUUAAAUAAAAGUAUUUCUGAAUCUGCAUAUCAGACAGACACACACUAUGUUUCAGGGGAAAAAACGAUGCUGAUAGAUAAACAGACAUUACCCGCUGAUGUUACUGAAUUUUAAGAACAAAGAAAACAAGAAGAAUCACAGGGCGCAGGCUUUACCGUGUGCUGCUAUGUAAUGCGGUGUGCGCGUGGCGUCUGCGAACGAGGUGCGUUAUGUGUGUGUGUUUAAUGCACUUAAUAUAAUAACAAAGAACCAUUUGGGAAUCACAUAAGUAUCCUGGGCUAAAGUGAUGUUAUUCCAGGGGAGGGACUCACGUUGGCUCCCUCCUGCCGCUCCAGAAACCCUCCCCCACCAUGGUGGAGGACCCUGCAGGACUGUCAAGGAAAAGUGCGGUGUCCCCAGAUUCUUUUCCUGCAAUCAAAUUGCCCUCCAAAAAUAAAAGCAACACAUGGACACACUCGGACAUGAAGAACUCAAGAGCUGACAGCAUCCAUGAGCUGCUCCUGGAAAACCCAGCUAACCAAACAGGACAACCGAAUAAGCAAGUCCAGAUGGGAAAGCUCUGGAACAUGAUCUCGCGGCAAACAGUGCACACGUCCAAACGCAGAGGUGGGACAAAGCAGUUCUGCAAGUUAUUGUUAUGGGGCAGGCCGCGGAUACUAUAACACUUUCAAAUGGACAGGUACAGCUACUAAAAUCCGGUGGGCAGGUGAGAGGCAGGGCGGAGGGAGCUAGGUAGGCACACUUGCUCCGUCAGCUUUUACAGUGAAUUAACAGGAAGUGUGAAAAACUGAAACGUGCAACUGAAAUGAUGCAGAGUCUAACCCAUUAAUUGCUUGUUACCAUUUUUCCCCCUUAACCUCCUAGGAGUCUUUUAGAAACCAAUUUGUUUUCUCAUGGAGAAGCGGCAACGGAGAAUUUGUUUGAAAUUUAGCAGUUCCUUAAAAUUAAAUAUAGUACAUGUUUGAUAAAUAACAUUUAUUCUAAGACCCAAUUCUGUACAACGAUUUCUCUCCAUCUGUCUUUUAGUAGACUGAUGGGUCUGCCGUGGCAUUUCUAGACCAGCGUUCACCAAAUCUCAUCUUUUUUCUUUCAUAUAUUUUUCAUGCUGUUUGGAUUAUCUCUAUAAAGACGUAUAUCUUUUUGUUCUCAAAAUAUGAAAGUCACUUUUCCCCAAGCUGAGUAAAGUAAAAUCUCCUUCUCUCAUCCGACUGCGAACCCCCAUCCUCCCUGGCAAAGAUUUAAUCAUCGCCGUCCUUUUCUCAUCUUUCCUCCCAGAAGAGUUGUAAUCGACCGCAGUGCUGUUCACACGGUGGCAUCGCGCCGUCCGGGCUGCUCUGGGACGUGCUUCCCCCGGAGACUGACCUGGCAGAGCCCCCACGGCCCUCGCCUGGUCUCAACAUGUUGGCUUUCUUGCGCGACAGCGCUGCAGCCCUUUUUUCAGGUCAAUGUCUGGAGCCGGACUGAGAUCGGAAGCUGGUUCCCACUGACUUGUGGAUGCGGGGCUGGGGCUCCCUAAGGACCACCAGCUUUCCGCCCUCCAUCUGCCCGAGAGGAGAAGGAACCAGGAACAAAUUAAAAUCUUGACUGUUUAAGCAUGUGCCUUUCAGCCUGAGCCUCGUCACACCCAGGUGGAAAUGAGUAACAGACAUCUUUCCACGGGACCGACCUCGCUCUCCUUCUGUGGCGUGGCUCUCAGGAAACAGGAGGGGAGUUCCAGGAAAUCAGAUCUAAAGAAACGCCGAGAGUCCAUAAAGAAUAAUUAUGACCCCGAGCCACAGGGAAGAGGAAAUGGGAUUCUGAUAAAUAGGAUUUUAUUAACUUGUUAACCUCGCCGGCCCGUCUAGGAAACUAAAAGCCAGACCUUUGGGCCCAGCAGUGACCAUUACAUGCUGGGACCCGACAAUCAGACGGAGCCCAGAGGGACGUGUUUGUACAAAGGAGGAGAAUGCAGUUAUGACACUGUGAACUUUCCACGUCUGAUUCCUGGGGGACAUUUGCUGGAAGGGAAUUAUCUUGAAACACGAAGCGAGCGAUAUUUCAUCUGUAGUCAUACUGGAGAUAAAAGCCCUUGUGCCUUAAAAGAAAGUAUAAAGCAACGCGCAGUAAAAUGUUUUUCUUCCUUUCACGGGAAGAUUAGCUCAUGUUCGGGGAAUAUAAUUUUAAACCUGGAAGUUGGUGACGUCUGGCUACCCCCACCCCAGCCGGCCACCAAGGCUCAGGGGGAGGCAGGGACCACAUGGUGCCUUCUAGACAAAUGACCACAGCCAGCCCCACCACCAAAACCCCCUGCCCUUUGCCAAGCUCUCUUAAUAAGGCAGCAGUUCUCUGAAACUCAACAGUCCACCGAGUUACUGCACCUUGGCUGAUCCAACAGGCAGAACGUGGGCCCAGGAGUGAGUCUGGGGUCUCUGGCUCCAGACAGGAAUUCCAGCAGCAGGUGGGCUCAGGCAUCUGAGGCUCCCAGGGAGAGGCUGGGCACCAGCAGAGGCCCAGCGACUCCCCAAAAUGAUGCUGGAACUGGCCAUGUGGGUCCUUUCAGCUCUAAACCUCCAGGUGGCUACCCAUCUCUCAGAGCAAAUCCCAAGUCCUUACAGGGACUCCGUAGCCUGUCCCCUCUUGGAGCAAGACCCGUACUUCGCGGCCCACCACGGCCCCACUCGCACCCCCGGGGCCUGUGUCCGGGCCUCUGCGGAAACGCCUCUUCUCCCAGGGAGCCACUGGGGAGGUUCCCCGUCCUUUCCCAGCCUUUGUCCCAUGACCCCUCCGUGAGGCCGGCCUGGCCUGCUGUGUGUUGGCUAAUUCUCCUCCCUUUGCUCUGUUUUUCCCAUUGCAUGUCUCACCUGGUGACCAACAAAAUCAGUUACAAUUUUAAAAAUGUUGUUUAUUGUGUAUGUUUCCUGUUUGCUGUCGCAUACAGCGUAAGCACCACCAGGCCCGAGGACUUGGUCUGUUUUCUCACUUGUGUGUUCCAAGCACCACGAAAGACGAGUGGACAAGGAGGGCUCACUUCCCAGCGCCGUCAGUGGUAGCGUGUUCCCCUCAAGUGCGGCCUGCUCAGCGGGGGGUCCCCCCCCCCGCCCCUUCCUCUCCAAGACUGUAACUCGGGGGCAGGCAGGACGCAUGGAAAAAAAAUGCCUUGAAAUCAGGCCACUCCCUGGCCUUACUUCACCCCCCUCGAAAAGAGUUCUGUGCUCUGACAGAAACCUGAAUGCGGUCUCUGCGCUGAAGCUUUCUGUCCAGGGGCCUCAGAACAGUAGGUGAUCAUCCAGGGCUUAGAAGGGGUGGUAUCGGGCCCAACAAGAGAAAGCCGGCAGCGGUGCUCCUGCCGCCUUCACCCCAGACUUCCUGGCUCAGUUCAGGGCAUGCCGACCGUGGCUAUGGUCCUAACACAGUGACUACUAUACCGAUAUUUGUAAAGUCCUUCAUUCAGAUGCUUUUUCCAAAACACAGGCUGGAGAGGCCGCCGCAUGCCACUGGAUUUGAAGGACACUGUGGUUCUUGCCUUUCCAGCCUUGAAUCAGGAGCCUUCGUGGAGGGUGCAGACGUCACGUUCUCGCCUUGCCUGCCUUGCCUUUCUUUCCUCACUGGUGGAAUGUGUUUAUUUAUUUUUGUCAUAGUUAGCAGGGAAGUUACAUAAAGACAUAGGAAUUUCAAGACCGAAAAAGAAAACCUAUUCAAUUGAAGCUAACAAGUUCAUUGCUGAUGGCGGGGUCUGAUUUAUCUGAAGACUGGACCGAAGGGAAAACCACAGCCCCGUAGAGUCAAUGAUAACCUCAGGUUAGCAUAAUACAAACCACGCAGAUUAUUUUAUCCAGUGCAGUUUGAAGUGGGCUUUGUGUGCCUGGUGCUGGAAACGGAUCCGAGGCUGUUUUCCAGGAAAGGCUUUCAGAAGUUGUGUGCUGCCCAGAUGUCGCCUCUGGGCUGGGAAGAGACUUGCCUGCUUACUUGGAAGUCUGAAGCUCAUUGUCAUUUGCAGUGCAUCCUAGCACAAUGCUGGUCAGCAAACUGAAAAACGUUGUUUCAUGAAAUAGAAGAAACAAGAAUGGAUCUUUUCUGUAUCCACAGAAAAGUUUUCCAUUUUGCUUCAUGCCUAUUUCAAGAAAUUUGGUUGAAGGCUUCAAGGAAAAAUGAACCGAAUGACUAGAGUCUGGAGGUCUUCACAUUCCCCUUUUAAAAUCAGGGUUCAUAGAUUACUUCUAAUUCUCUGGAGAAAUAAUGAGCACCAUCUUGAAAUGAAACAGACACGGCCUUCGGCAAUGAGCUGUGAUAAACUACCCGCACGGUGGGGCUGAAUGUGGUACCUGGGAGCCAUGUGAACGAGGAACCACCACUGUCCCGGGCGCCUGGCUGGAAAGCGCCCAGUCCUCACGCCCAGCGUCACCAUGCCCCCUGGCUCAGCACAAGCGCCUUGCACUCUGGCGGGGCGAUGAGUCACGUAAGAGGACAAGCCUGCCCCUCCGAGCAGACGAAGUCUCUGCUUCGACUUUGUCACAAAACCAAAUCUAAAUCCAGAAAGGAUGAGAAUUUGUCCUCGGGGGCUUUGCGAUGAAAUAAAACCAAUGGCAUUUCACUCUCUGGCUCAGAGUUUACUUUCAGCAGGGGAAAACAGUGCCUGCGGAUCCCUGCCUGGCUCCAGCAAACAUAAACCAUGUCUCUGAGAAACAACUGCUUGAUUAAUGCAGCCAAUUCCAGCAAACAACUUAAAAAUUUCAUGGAGAAAAGAAAAGGCAGUAAAAAUGCCUGUCUGACCAUCCAGGCCGAGCCAGCGCCAGGUCUGGGGAGGCAGCUGCGUCAGCCCUGCUGGGGUCCUGCACAGCCGGGCUGCCCCCCAAAUAUCCGGGCACCUCCAGGCACAGUCGCUGCAAACAGGAGGCUGUGCGUCCCGCUAGAGCCAGUAAAAUGAGAGGGCUCGGAGCCCGUGAUGUGGCGUCAGGACAGCUCGAGCCUGGCGGUCACCACCGGCCUCCCAGCACUGUGCCUCCUCCCCCACGUGCCCCCACCAGCACCCUGGGCACGGGAGGAGUGGCUCAGGGGAGGGGCUCGUCACAGAGCACCCCGCCUGCCUCGUACUAGUCCACCGGCUGGUCAUCUCCAGAGCUGUGGGACAGAACAAACUGAUGAGGUUGGCAAGAGAGGCAAACAUGGGAUGGCGCAGGGCAGAGCAUGAAGUGGUCACUCACUGCACUGUCAGUAGGACUCCCUGGCCACACCCAGCUCACUGCCAGGGGAUGGACUGUUCAUCUGCAGUUAUUACAAAAUAUUGGCGAUACUCUCCGUGUCGUACAUGCACCCUUGAGCCUCUCUCACACCCGGAAGUUCGCACCUCCUGCCCCGUCUCCCCUAAACCGCCCCGCCCCCUCCCCGCUGGUAACCGCUGGUUUGUUCUCUGUCUGUGAGUCUGCUUCCUUUUUCUUCUAUUUAUUAGUUGGUUGCAUUUUUUACAUUCUGCAGGUAAGUGAUGUCAUCCAGUAGUCAUCUUUCUCUGUCUGCCUUUUUUCACUUAGUCAUUUGGGUUUUAUUCACUGAUUUGGAAAAAAGUGUGUUGGCCAGGAAACAGAAGUGCCAGGCUCGGCAUAAGCCUUAGGGAAGCCCUCAUGGAAGAAGAGAUGGUCAAAGGCUGAAAGGAUGGCAUUAGCCAGGGUGGGGAGUCAGGACAGCACAAUGCUUUUUUCUUUUAAUUAUUGAUUUAUUAAUUUAUUUUUACUGGAGGUACUGGGGAUUGAACCCAGGACCUGUGCAUGCUAAGCACACUCUCUAUUCUCUACCCGCUGCCCCCUCCUCCCCUGGCACAGUGCUUUUGAUGAAUGACAGAUAGUUUACUGAGGCCCACUAGAGGGGAAUGGAAGAGUUAGACGGGCUGGAUCUGGUGCUGAGUUUCUAUGAAAAUUCCUUGAACUGUUGGCUUUCUUUCCAUCUGCAGCGGCUUAGUUCUGGCCCUCACCAACUCUUCAGGACAGCUGUAGCUGCCUUGUUCACCUCUCUGUCUUCGUCUAUCGGCCUUCCAAACAUCUCCCGUGCAGGACAAGAGUGGUUUUCCAAGUGGAGGGUGACUGAAUGGCCAGGCGGCCUGGAACAAGCAAGGACGAGCAGGCCCUGCCCAUGGAGACAGGGUUCUUACUGAGCAGACCCACAUCUUCACUUUGAGCAGAUACAAAAGCCCAAGGCAACUCUGUCUUUGGAGUAAGCCUAUAACCUAGAGUGCUGUCCUCUACAAUUCUAAGGGGGUCAGGCAGAGACCCAGGGCUCCAAGCCUUAUAACCCCAGGCCCCACCAGCACCUCUCCUGGGUCUGCGGGAAGCAAAGCCUUCGGAAUUUCUCAAAGCAUUGUGUUUUCUAGCAACUUUACAUCCCCAGGGCCCUUGGAGCCUCCAUGGGACGUUAUGGCUUCUGAUAUCAUCCCAAUCUCCUUCCCUUAGGAGCCUACCAACUCCCGGGCCUCAGGUGACACCCCUAUGGAGUCUGCAUCCCUGCUCUUGGAGUGGGAGCUAGGGCUGGAGGACUUGAGGAGUGGGCAACAAUUGCCAAGGGCCGUCGACUACAGUCCAAAUCCUCAGCUCAGGCCUCAGUGGAAGAGCAGACCAGAGGCCUGACAGGACACACGCAUCCAGGCUCUGUUGCUUGAAACUGAAAUUAGUCAUGCUUUCGGUGUUAAGAGAAUAACAAUAAAAUUACAUAAAAUGUUCAAAAAAAUUAAGGUAACAACAAAAAAGAUAAAUAAAAUUUCUUUAUGCGAAAGUUCUCAAGCCUUUAACAAGCCAGUGUACAUUAAGCCUCACCAAGAAGAGGAUCUAGCAUGCAGUAUUUCCCAGACUUACUCAGCCAUGAGCCCCUUCCCCGUCGGACUUCGGAAUGGAAUUCUAUCUCGCAGAAUCCACAUUGGAAAAAGUUGGGGUGGAUUAUUAGCUACGAUAUGUACAGGGACAUCAGGAGGACAGAUAAGCCCCAAAUGUUUAUAAUAAUUCUGAAAAAGUUGGAAGUAAUUUUCAUGUCCUCUGGAAAACAGAUGAGAUCGUAUUAGAAUGUCACUCAGAAUAUGAUCAUAGUCUACAUGGCAUAGAAACCAUAUAAGAAAUUAGGUACAUUUUAAAAAUUAGGAAUAAAGUUUGUGAGUGAUGAUUAUAAUUAUUUAUUAAAAACCAAACGCAGCAUCCGGCUGUCAGAGGGGCACUGAAGCUGGGACUUGUCCUCCUGCCUCAGCAAGUGAAACUGGACAGACUAUAUUAAGCAACUGUUUUCAGAUUUUGGAGAACAGGAAGUGAAAGACUGUGGUCCCUGAGAGACAGGAAACAAACGAGAUGGAUGCAAAAUUUGCUAGACUUACUUCCAGGAGGCAAAUUACAGACUGUAGUGCGGAGAGAAGAACCCCUACCGGAGCAAGGCCAUACCACUGGCUUGAGGGAACUGAGGACUUUGCAAGGCCGAGUGCUGGAGAGGGGGAAACCAUGCAGAGAAAGACCUGAGGAUCCUGCUAGGUGUCCCCUCAAGUCACUGGAUGAACACCACUCUGCACACGCACAGAGUGAAGCUCUAUGUGGCUAGAAGAAGAGCCUCCAGGUGCAGAAAAGGCACCAGGAACCUGUAAGUCAAACAACCCCAGGGUUUCUCAGACAGCAGAGCCAGAAACCUUUUGACUUGCCGCCAGCCAGAGAGGAGAGACCUUGUCAAACACACAGGGUCUUCAAUAGAGACCUUAGAAGGGCCGUGCCACAGCAGCGGGCCAAACUAGCCCUGGAAGAAAACGCUAAAAAAGAUUAAAUACACACUUCAAAACUAGCAAAUGAGUGCACAAAUAACUUAAUUGUCUGCCAGAGCACAGCCUAACAGUCUUAAAAACAACAAAGAAACAAAAAACCCUAAACUAAAAAAAAAAAAAAAAAAACGACAAUGUUUGGAUGUCUAUUUUAAAAUUACUAGACACAUUACAAAGCAGGAAGAUGUAACACGUAUAAAGAGAGAGCUCUGUCAAUAAAAACAAAACCAGAUUAUCAAUAUUUUGAAUAUUUUGAAGAUGGUAAAAUGAGAAGAAAGUAAUUUCAAAGCAUGUAUGUAUAUAUGCUUUGAAAUAUACAUGUAUAUAUGUAAUAUGCUCAAUGGUUGAAGGGAAAACACAAAUUUAAGGAAGAAAGAAAUAAAAAAUACAAAAAGAAUUAAAUGGAAUUUCUACAGAUAAAUAUCCCUAAAAUAUAAAUUUUCAUUGGCUUGGGUUAAGAGAAUAUUAAACAUUGCAAGAGAUCAGUGCACGUGAAGACAUGGCAACAGAACUACCCAUCACAAAGCAUACAGAAAAAACUGCAUGAAAAACCAUAACCAGAUUCCGAGUGAUCUGUGAGACAAUAUUAAGCCACCUAACAUGGAAUAAUCAGAGUCAGAAAAGAGAGAGAGAAGGAUCAGAAAUAAUAUUUGAGGAAAUGGGCAGAAGUAUUUUAAAUUUGAUGAAAACUAACCCACAGAUCCAAGUAGUCCAAUAAGCCCUAUUCUGAAUAAACACAAAGAAAACCACACCAAAGCACAUCACUGUAAAAUUUCUGAAAACCAGUGAUAAAGAGAAAAAUCUUAAAAGUAGCCAGAGGUUCAAGAGAAAAAGUACAUUACAGACAAAGAAACAAAGACAUUUUGUCAGCAACUAUACUGAGGGCAUUAUGUUAAGUGAAAUAAGUCAGAGAAAAGACAAAUACUGUAUGAUCUCACUUAUAUGUGGAGUCUAAAAACAAAAACAAAAGAAGAAACUCAUAGAAAAAGAGAUCAGAGCUGUGUUUAUCAGAGGUGGGAAGCGAGGUGGGGAGGGGGAAUCGGAGGAAGGCAGUAAAAAGGUACCAACUUCCGGUUACAAGAUAAACAAGUUCUAGGGAUGUGACGGGUAACAUGAUGACUAUAGUUAACACUGCCCUGCGGUGUACUUUAAAGUAAAGAGAGUAAGUCCUGAGAGUUUUCAUAACAAGGGGAAAAAAUCCUUUUUUUUUUCUUUUUCUUUUUUCUAUCUAUAUAAGAUGAUAAAUUAACUAAAUUUAUUGUGGUAACCAUUUCACAAUAUAUGAAAGUCAAAUCAUUAUGCUGUACACCUUCAACUUGAGCUGUCCUGUAUGUCACUUAUAUCUCAACAAAACCAGGGCAGGGGGUGAAAAUCUACACAAGUCAGAAAAAACCUUUCAGCUUAGAAUUUUAUAGACUUUAUCUUAGAACUUUAUCAGCCAAACAAAAACAGAGACUUUGUCAUCAGCAGAACUUCCCCACAAGAAAUGUUAAAGGAAAUUCUGCAAACCAAAGGAAAAUAAUUUCAGCUGGAAACUUGUAUCUAUCUGCACAAGGGAUGAUGUACAAGAUUUUACAAGAAACUGUAAAUAUGUGCAAAAAUAUAAUUUUUUUAGUUUUAAAAUUCCUUUCACCAACAAUUGACCAUUUAAAGCAAAAAUAGUAACACUGAUUUGUGUUAUUGUAUGUAAUAUAUGUAGAGGUUAACAUGUAUGACAACAACAACAAAAAGGUGGAAGGUUAGAUGUAAAGUUCUUAUGUUAUAUUUGAAUGAUAUAAUAUUCCUUGAAAAUAGACUGUGAAAUGUUAAAAAAGACAUAUUUUAAAUACUAGAGCAACCAAAGAAACAAAGUAGUAAAAGCUGGUAAUAUGAUGGUAGAUAUAAAAUGGCUUCAUAAACAAUACAAAAUUAAUUUUAAAGAAGACAGGUAAAGAGGAAAAAAAGGAACACAUCAGAUUAGCAAACAGAAAACAAAUAGAAGUAAAAUACGCUUAGCCCAAAUAUAUCUAAUAAGGGCCUUGAAUGUAAAUUGUCCAAACGUGCAUUGUUUCAUAUGGCAGUAACUAGCUACAUGUGGCUAUUUAAAUUUAAUUAAUUAUAAUAAAAUAAGAUAAAAAUUUCAACCCUCAGGCAAGCUAGAAACAUCUUCAGUGUUCAACAGCUACCUGUGGCUAGUGCCACUGUCUUAGUCAGUGUAGACGGGGAACAUUUCCAUCAUCACAGAAAGUUCUUUUUGACAGUAUUGAUCUAAACACAUCAACCGAAAAACAGAUCAUUCAGAUUGAAUGAGAAAACACAAUGCACUUGUAUGCCAUCUACAACAAUAAAAUAGCCUUAAAUAUAAAGACACAGAUAAGUUUGAAGUGAAAAAAUGGAAAUAGAUUUGCCAUGCAACACUAAUCACAAAAGAGCUGGAAAAUGGAGAAUUUGAAACAAGAGAUACUACCAGAAUUAAAGAGAGUCAUUUCAUAAUGAUAAAUGAUAAUGAUAAAGGACACACUUUAUCAUGAUGACAUACAAUAGUAAUAUGCAUGUACCUAAUAACAGAACUUCAACAUAGAUGAAGCAAAAACUAUACAAACUUAAAGGAGAAAUGGACAUAUUCAUAAUUAUAUUUGAAGAUUUUAACAUUUCUCUCUCUCUCAGUAAAUGAUAAAGCAAAUAGAAAAUCGAUUGUAAUACCCUGGACUUGGAAAACACUAUUAGCCAAGUUGACCUAAUUGACCUUUACGGAACACUAUAGUCCAAAACUGCAGAAUACACAUGCUAUUCUGAUGCGCAUGAAACAUUCACCAAAACAGUCACUAUGCUUGGUUAUAAAAUAAAUCUCAAUAAAUUUUAGACAAUUGAAA